Long non-coding RNA from Haliotis rufescens (red abalone), 4224 nucleotides. RefSeq lists it as uncharacterized. The transcript is spliced from 2 exons. Lineage: Eukaryota; Metazoa; Mollusca; Gastropoda; Lepetellida; Haliotidae. The record is from RefSeq and is a predicted model, not a curated record.
CAGGAAUUAUUUGUAUUUUGCAUUUGUUAAUUGACACUUAUUAACUACUGGGUCAUGCGCUAUAAGAUGAUACGAGUGCUGCGACUAUCGUAAGUCGACGAUAGAAUUUCAACAGUGGAAGGAGGCCCUGAAUUCUGUGUUGCGGAAGGAAACUAGCUUUGGGAUCAAGACUGACGUUCCAGAUGACAUAAAUAUUGUCAGAUAAGGUUUUUAUUUGCUGUUGUUCACCUUUGAAAAAUGACAAAUUCCUACCAUUCGACUGGACAUUUUGUUCUUAAACUGAACUAUGAGAUGUCCUCAGUCUCUGUUACAAGCAGCAACACAGGUUCAAGGUUAUCUUAACGAGGUAGGUAAUCAGUACAAGGCCCUCAUUUGCAAACUUAAAAACUUUGCAUGAAACUAUAUUUUCCUUGGAAUAUACUAUAUAUUACAUGUGUAUAUUAAUGGGAAAUACUAAACAUCUAAGUGUGAAAUAAGUAGUUGAGUCUAUCAUUAUAGGCCAAUGCGAUAUCUUCUUCCUUGUACAUGUUAACCAAAGUAUUAUUUGCACUCACAUCGGCAGUGUCCUCCACACUCUACAGGCCCUGGUUUAAGGGCCAGGGGUGGCCCUGGUUUGAGGGCAAGGGGUGGCCCUGGUUUGAGGGCCAAGGGUAGCCCAGUCACCUAAGGUGCUGCAGUGUGCUGCAAUUCCUCCCUCAGGCAUGCCGUGAACCUGUGAUCAUGGGUUCGAAUCCUAGAUCCACCUUGAUUGUCACGGUGUUUUCUGUACCAUACCCGUGUUGUGGGUUUCACCAGAGUGGUAAACGUCGAAGAACUGCAUCACUCUGUCUUUCCUCCUAACACAAACUGAAACACCAUGUAUAUUACUCAAAAAGAAGUUAAAGACAGCCCAAUGUUUUCUUAUGACUAUAGUUAGUCUGUCAUGGCUGGUGGGUGCACACAACCUUCCAUUUGUGGGUGUUCUUUGACUUGUUUUGAGUAGUAUAUGUGAAAUACUGUUCACAGUUGUGUGAAGCACAACCGAUUUACUAGCACCUUGCAUCUGUACUGGCAGUGGGCUAGUGUUAAUUGCCAUAUUAAACUGUAUAUUCAUGUCUUGGACCCUGAACUUUGUCGGAUCUGGUGCUGAAGGCUGCUGUCAGGCCCAAACUUAAAACUCUAUGGUUAUAACUGUCAUACAAAGUUACAAUCUUUUUCCUAUUGUUUUGCUAUUGUGCAGUGUUUUUCCCAUUGCUGAUACCAUGGAUACUCUGAUUUCUGUCAUGACUUCAUGGAGGCAGUACAUGCUCCUUUUUAUGCUCCAUUCGUCAAAGCUUUGGAAAAUUUGGCUUUGACAUUGCAUGGAAACCAUGACCUAGUGCUUAUGACCUUAACCUUGUGCUUAUGACACUGGACUUUGUGCUGAUGACCUUGAUCGAGUGUUUACGACCUUGACCUUUUUCGCUGCCCCAGCAAUUACUGAAUAAGGUGGAAUCUGGCUGAAUCAAUUCAGGUUUGAGCCUGGGACCAUUGAAACCAGUAAGUUAGUCAGGACAAUUGGGAGUGUGUAUGUUUUAUACGGUUGACUUAGAACAUAUGUUACACACAAGGCAUGCCCUCUUAGCUAAAGUAUAUUUUGUAAUUUUUUUAUCGCAACUUUAACUUUUAUUGUGACGGCUUGAUGUUUGUAUCCCCCUGCCAUACCUAAUGUAUGGUGAUCUGUUAAGGUCAUAUUUUCAUAGGAUUUGUUUUUUUUCCAUUGGUAUUCAUGACCAUUGAGUCUGUUAUUGUUGUUUAUAUGCUGGCUCACAAGCUGAUCCAAUUCUUAUUGUAUGACUGUUUUGACAGUGCUAUGUAUAUUGUUGUUUUUUUCUAAGAUAUGUCCACUGUUAUAUAUACAUACUUUCUACCGGGCGGUAUGGCUCAUAUCCCCCUCCAUGCAGUACCCUCUCCUGUACAUAUACAACUGUUUAUACCCUGUGUACAAUGUUUGUUACUUGCUGUCCUCACUUCCCUGUACAUAAGCUAUCAUCAUUCAUGGAGGCUGCUGACUCCUUGUCAUUGUCUUGGAUACAUUUCAAAUUGUUCAUGUAUGUCAAAAAUAGUUUGGCUGGAAGAUGAAUGUCCCAAGAUUGAGUUAUUUUUUAACAGGGCCUCGAUUUCAUAAUCAACUCACACCAAUUUGUAAAAUAUUGCAUUACUACAUUUGAAGGGCACUUGGCCUUGGUUUGGCUGGCAGUUCCAGGAACACUGUCCCUCCUGAACUAUAAGGGUAAAUGUAAAGUGGCUUGGUAAAGUCACAGUGACGGUGUAGGACAGGCUGAGUGAGGGGUGGGGAAUGUAUUUCCAGCCAAACUAUAUUUUUCACCAACACUAAUCUCUGGCCACAAGAAAUUAAUUAUUACAUUAUGAUCCAAAUUUAUCAAUGUAGUGAAGGAGGAGGGGGUUUUAUUUUUAAAAACAUCAUCUUUCAAGGUCACGAUUGAAAGUGAGCGUAUGUCGUUGUCUGCUGGUCUGCUUGUCUUCUGUAAAAUUCUCCUCCUCAGAAUCCACAAGACCAAUGAAGCUGACACUUCACAUGUUUAUUCCCAACAAUGAUGGCACUGAAUCUGUUGAAGAGGUUGGAAUCAGUUUUUCAAUAUGGCCACCAUGGCAGCCAUUUUGAAAAAGAUAUUUAUGACCAUUACUCAGUCAUUGUUCAAUAUGUGAUUAAAGUUAUUAUCUAGUUAGCUAUCUGUGAGUCAUGCUGUUAAAUCUCUCCAUGUGCUGUAAAACUUCUAUGAAAGGGGCGGUCGGGUAGCCUACUGUAAUGCCGAAGACCCGGGUUCGAUUCCCGACAUGGGUACAAUGUGUGAAGCCCAUUUCUGGUGUCCCCCGCCGUGAUAUUGCUGGAAUAUUGCUUAAAGCGGCGUAAAACCUCACUCACUCACUCACUCCUAUGAAAUUGUAAGACUUUGUCAUGUAUGUUUCCCCUUUAGAUGACAUUUUGGUCAAUUCAUUAGACUUUAGUUCUAGUGUUUAGUAUUUAUACAGAGAAUAGAUGAAAAUCAAUGCAGACAGCAGAAUUAGGUUCAGACUGCCUUUGUUUUUUAAAACUGUUGCGUACAUAUCCAGGUGAGCUACAGUUCCCUGACACUAUUGUUUUUGUAACAGUUCUGUUAUAAUGAAAUAUGAAGGUGAGAGGACAGGGUGAUAAUGUAGCAAUCAAUUUUUGUUGGCCUUUGGUGUUUAUAUGAGUUCUUGAAGCUGUACUUAAUACAAUGCCGCUUGGUUGCCCUGCUUGCAGUGUUCUCAUGACCUGUCUCAUGCCCUGUACAUCCAGCAUCACCCACCCCCUCCAAUCACAGGACCUGAUUCUUCAAGCUCCCUCCCAGCGCUUGACACCUUCGUUACGCUCUCGGUAACAUCGCUGUCACCAGUAGGGGCACGCCCAUUACAAGAAUCUUGAAAUUUGCCCUCUAAUCCCAUAUCAUAGUGAAUUUUGAAAAGGUUUAUGACUGACCAUAAUUUGCAGAUGAAUUUACCAUUUUGUUUGUUUGAUCAGAUUGGUUCACAAUUGCAGACAAAUGGAAAAUCAACCAACUUCCCCCUUACAGUCUAACAAUAUCAAUUACAUGAUAGUUGUCAUGAAACGCAAAUUCAGAUUGAUAAACAAAGAAAAUAAUAUAGCAAGCGUAAGAGUAUCCACGUCACGGCAUUAUCACUUGGUUGUAAACAUAACGGUCAUUCGGCUGUGAAUUCAACUCCAUGCAUGGUUGUGGCCACGCAUCACAGUGGGGAGGUUUGACUGGUGGCAGUGAUAGUAUAGAGAGCUCCGGGGUAUCACUGUGAGGAGCUUGCGGAUUCUGGUCAUAUUCCACAUCCUGUCACCAUGGAUACUACAAUCAAAUAUUGUCACAAUAUGUGAAAUGGCCUUCAGGUAUUCCAAAGAAAUGAAAUUGGGCACCAAGUGCUAAAUAUGUUCCGUUUUAGGUCCAUAUGUGGCAGUUUGUGGAAUUGGUUUUUCAUAUUCACUAACCACUGUUAUGCAAACCUUUGCCACUAUAAGUGGUGUAUAAAUGUGUAUAUUGCCAGUGUGGUGUAUGUCUAGUUAUCUCCAGUGUUCACUGAGGGUACUGUGUGAAGGGCUGAUGUCCCUGCCACCUAUCCUGCUUGACUGCUGUAUAUGAAGUUGUGGGUGGCCUCUCGACGCUCACGGCUCCCAUGCAUGUAUAAAGAAAAUGCAUAAAUGUUUCAAACCAUCAA